Molecule: ribosomal RNA, 326 nt
Filed under: uncultured eukaryote
Lineage: Eukaryota
Description: partial 18S ribosomal RNA
Rfam family: Eukaryotic small subunit ribosomal RNA
Source: RNAcentral
CCCUUAGAUGUCCGGGGCCGCACGCGCGCUACAAUGGAUGAAUCAACGCGUCAUCCUGGCCCGAAAGGGUUGGGGAACCGCUGAACCUCAUCCGUGGUUGGGAUUGGGGUUUGUAAUUAUUCCCCAUGAACUAGGAAUUCCAGUAAGCGCGAGUCAUAAGCUCGCGUUGAUUACGUCCCUGCCCUUUGUACACACCGCCCGUCGCUACUACCGAUUGGAUGGUUUAGUGAGAUCCUCGGAUUGGUCACGGCACGGUGGCAACACUGCGUCGGUGUGCCGAGAAGACGAUCAAACUUGAUCAUCUAGAGGAAGUAAAAGUCGUAACA